Non-coding RNA from Oryza sativa Japonica Group (Japanese rice), 966 nucleotides. The record is from RefSeq and is a predicted model, not a curated record. NCBI's taxonomy places the organism in Eukaryota, Viridiplantae, Streptophyta, Magnoliopsida, Poales, Poaceae.
CGCCCUUUGUAUUUAUAGGGAUGAUCAAGCAGAGGAGGAGGCCGGAAGGAAAGGGGGAUCAAGCAGAGGAGGAGCCCACAGUGAGCCUUACACGCUUACAUUAUUGCCUCCAAGCAGGAACAGCGGCUAGGCAGCACCUGAAAACUGGUAUUGCUGAUCCAUAUCUGAAUUUCUGGAUGAAAACGAGAGCUUUGCUUGUCUAAAUUCUCUGAAUACUGGAUAGGAAGAGGAAUGCCGGAUAUACACAAGCAGUAAACAACGGCCUGGUCUUUCUGCAUUCAAACCUGUUUCCCACGGGCAGUUGGCCUUGCUGGCUUUCAAUUCACACGUGUCAAUCAGCUGGGGAAAACAGCAAUCCAUGCCUGCGAUGGGGAAUGCAUUUGUACUCCUCCGUCCCAAAAAAAAAAAAAGGCAAACCCUGAGUUUCCGUGUCCAACUUUAACUGUCCGUUUUAUAUAUUUUUUUAUAAUUCGUAUUUUCAUUGUUGUUAGAUGAUAAAACAUGAUUAAUAUUUUAUGCGUGACUUGUCUUUUUAAUUUUUUUCAUAUUUUUUUCAAAUAAGACGGACUGUCAAACAUUGGACACGGAAACCAGGUUUGUCUUUUUUUAAGGACGGAGGGAGUAGUAUCUAUCGCUGACAUGUGAGACUGGGCCCACCUGUCAACCACAGUGCAGAUAGGAUCAUUGUCCCCAUGCCUGGGCCAGCUGCAUGCAAAGGUGGUUUCAGGCUUUCAGCUUCAGGCAGGCCAGUGUGAUGAACUUCAAAUCAUAUAUUUCGAAGAAAACAAAAAGGCAGAUGAUGCCUAUUAUCGAUCUUGCUUGUUUUAAAUUUAAAGCGAGCAAAAAGUUGGUGAGGCUUGCUUGCUUUCCCUACCAUUUUUUCAGAUAAUUAAAUAAAUAUUCUAGACACUGCAUAUUAUGAUGCAUUUAGCCGUUGCUUUCUUACAACCUGGAGCUCUUGUUUGG